RNAcentral lists this small RNA (2070 nucleotides) under Pan troglodytes (chimpanzee). Its description in RNAcentral is "retained intron". Lineage: Eukaryota; Metazoa; Chordata; Mammalia; Primates; Hominidae. The record is from RNAcentral.
UUGGCUUGUAUUAUGCUUGGCUAGAUGAGACAUCUGGGCAGAUAGUAAUGGAAAUUACCUCUUCCAAAGAGAUAAAGUGGAGAAGAAACUCCUGUAUGUUUAUAACCUGCCCUUGGUAGCCUGUCUCCAUUAAACCCUAUCUAAGUGAGCUAGACAACCCCCAGCGGUUGGCAGACUUUCGCUGUAAGAGGCUGGAUGGUGAAUAUUUUAGGCACUGUGGGCCACAUGCAGUCUCUGUCACGUAUUCUUGUUUUAAACUUUCUUGGCUCAUGGGCCUUGAGAGCUAUGGUUUGCCAACCCCUUAUCUAGGGUUUAGGGUCUUUAAAGAACCUAUUAGAACCCUCUCUCCUCCAUGGGAAAAAACCCUGAGAUGUUUGAGAACCUUUAUUUACUCAUUAUUUUUCUUUCCUUCUCUCAAUCAGCAGCACCCACAGUAGGACAAGAUAUGGGGUGGAGACCUGCGGGUAGUUGGGCAGAUAACCUUGGGGCCCACCUGCCUAGUGGUGUGUCAGUGAAAGUUAAUCCAUUUUCAGUCUCCUGGGAACAUCUUUUUUAACUCCCACUUUCAUUUUUCUCUGCCUGUUUCCCUUCAGAAAUCAUUUCUACCAGUUCGGAGAGAUCCGGACGAUCACUGUUGUGCAGAGACAGCAGUGUGCUUUCAUCCAGUUUGCCACACGGCAGGCUGCAGAAGUGGCUGCUGAGAAGUCCUUUAAUAAGUUGAUUGUAAAUGGCCGCAGACUGAAUGUGAAAUGGGGAAGAUCCCAGGCAGCCAGAGGAAAAGAAAAAGAGAAAGAUGGAACUACAGACUCUGGGAUCAAACUGGAACCUGUUCCAGGAUUGCCAGGAGCUCUUCCUCCUCCUCCUGCGGCAGAAGAAGAAGCCUCUGCCAACUACUUCAACUUGCCCCCAAGUGGUCCUCCAGCUGUGGUGAACAUUGCUCUGCCACCGCCCCCUGGCAUUGCUCCACCCCCACCCCCAGGUUUUGGGCCACACAUGUUCCACCCAAUGGGACCACCCCCUCCUUUCAUGCGGGCUCCAGGACCAAUCCACUAUCCUUCUCAGGACCCUCAGAGGAUGGGAGCUCAUGCUGGAAAACACAGCAGCCCCUAGCACCUUGUCACCACUCUGGGGCUCUGUGGAAGAAAGGGCACUUAAAACUCCCAGUAAAUCUUGGAAUAAAUAUAUUUUUCCUUCCCUUGUAGUUUCCAUGGUAGCUGAAUGUGCUCAGAUGUGAGCAGUCAGAGACUGACAGCCAUGCUUUCCUAUACUUGUUCAAAGGAUCGAUGGACCGUAAAUAAGCUGCCAUUAACACAUCUGGUUACUGCUAUAACAUGACUAGUAAAACCUAAUGCCUGUUCCCUUUACCCGUGUGGGGGACAAGCAGAUGAGUGAAUUGGAAUGUCCAGCAGAGUUACCAUCCCAAUUAUAUGUUCAUUUUGUAUAUUUUUUGGUCGGGGGAAAAAUUGACCUGCAGUAAAAAAACCUUUGACCAUUUUUAUGUCCAUUGGAUAUUUUCCUUUUUAUCAUCUUAAAAAAAAGAUAACUAGUACUAAUCAUUGUAGUGGCCUAAGUGUGAUUUAACUCUUUUGAAGUCACACCCUCAGAAAGAUGAGUAGAAACCAGCACCAGCACAGCCCAGAUCUUUUCUUUCCUCUCCUUUUCCUCAUUUAUUCCUAAAGGAAUCUGACCAUUUUACGUCUCUACGGCCCAAAAAAAGACAAAAAUAAAAAUUCCUUUUUAUUCCUGUCAACUGGAUGGAAACACAAAUUUCAUGGAGCUGUGUACCAUUGAAGAAACCUGGUGUCUGGCAUGAAAUUACUGUAAAGAACUUCCUGUAAAACACGUUCUUUAACAAACUGAAAUGAAAAGCAUUGGAGCGUUUGAAUGAAAGACGUGACCUCCUGCUGGGACUCUGAUGGUCUUCAGCAUUCACCUUCGUGUGUCUUCAGUGUCUCAUUGUCAUCCCUGCUUCUGUUUGGUCUUAGAGUGUUUGGAUAUAACUGAAUUGUAGAUGGUAAAGGAAAUUUGAUGUGUUGUUUGUUUUUAAAUAAUUAAAACGGGUCAAUUUUU